RNAcentral lists this ribosomal RNA (507 nucleotides) under uncultured bacterium. RNAcentral describes it as "partial 16S ribosomal RNA". The stretch from base 20 to 329 matches the Rfam family "Bacterial small subunit ribosomal RNA", at positions 47 to 358 of the family's 1533-position model. The record is from RNAcentral.
GACGAACGCUGGCGGCGUGCUUAACACAUGCAAGUCGAACGGAAAGGCCCUGCUUUUGUGGGGUGCUCGAGUGGCGAACGGGUGAGUAACACGUGAGUAACCUGCCCUUGACUUUGGGAUAACUUCAGGAAACUGGGGCUAAUACCGGAUAGGAGCUCCUGCUGCAUGGUGGGGGUUGGAAAGUUUCGGCGGUUGGGGAUGGACUCGCGGCUUAUCAGCUUGUUGGUGGGGUAGUGGCUUACCAAGGCUUUGACGGGUAGCCGGCCUGAGAGGGUGACCGGGCUGCUGGGGACGGGGCCAGGGCCGAGCGCGCGCGGGGGGGCAGCGGGGGGGGCGGUAGGUCGGUGGGGGGGGGCCGGAGCGAGGAAGGGGUGGUGGGGGGUGGCGGCCCGGGGUUGGGACGCGGUUGGGGGCGGUGGAGAGGGGUGGGGUGGGGGAAGGGGAAAAGAGGAACCGGCUACCGACGUGCCAGGAGCCGGGAAUAGGCAGAAGAGCCCGCGUCUGCCC